This 403-nucleotide ribosomal RNA is filed under the name uncultured bacterium. RNAcentral's name for it is "partial 16S ribosomal RNA". It matches the Rfam family "Bacterial small subunit ribosomal RNA", at positions 30 to 526 of the family's 1533-position model. The record is from RNAcentral.
AUUGAACGCUGGCGGCAGGCCUAACACAUGCAAGUCGAGCGAGCGGCGGACGGGUGAGUAAUGUAUGGGGACUGCCCGAUAGAGGGGGAUAACUACUGGAAACGGUAGCUAAUACCGCAUACUAUCGGAUAACCCAUAUGGGAUUAGCUAGUAGGUGAGGUAAUGGCGCACCUAGGCGACGAUCCCUAGCUGGAAUGAGAGGAUAAUCAGCCACACUGGGACUGGAACACGGCCCAGACUCCUACGGAGGCAGAAGUGGGGAAUAUUGCACACGGGGCGCAAGCCUGAUGCAGCCAUGCCGCGGGUAUGAAGAAGGCCCUAGGGUUGUAAAUUACUUUCAGUCGGGAGGCGUGACCGACAGAAGAAGCACCGGCUAACUCCGUGCCAGCAGCCGCGGUAAUAC